AGACAAUGUUUUUGGACUAUGAGGGUGUUGCUAUGGAGACAGUUGCUAAUUAACUGCUUUCAACCAGGAGAACAAAGGGCUCGGGGCAAGCAGGCCUUGGUAUCUCCGAGUGAGCAAUGCUUCCAGCCUGGCGCAAUCGGCACAUCGCUCAUAUCUGGAAUACCUGAGACCCGGUCGGGUAGGCUACAUGCCUGAAGAAAUGACAAAAAGCACCUACCACAGUACCUGGCACAUAGCUGUUUGAUAAAAGCUUGCUACAUUGAACUAAACUGCAGUCCAGAGCCUUUGGAUAAUUUAUGCAAGAUCACAAAGCUAAGAGGUGGCAGAGUUGGGAAAGGAGGAAAGGCAAACCAAUUCGUGGACUGAGCCUAGAACAGCACUGCUUCCCUCAUGAGUAGAAUGGCACCGCCUAAAGGCAUCCGACAUUAAUCACCGCCUCCACAGAAAUGCAUGCUCCUUUUAUGGAAACGCAGCAUUCAGAGUUUUACAACAUUUGUACCAUGGAAGGAAAGACCAGUGCUGAUUUGGUGCCAGACUCAACUGUAAAUACAAGGUGUUUUUUUCCUUGGUAAUUACAGAUGAGAACUUCACUUCUGGCAUACACACCAUAAGGCAUUCUUGGUUUACAUAUUUAAAUAAACACACCCACCACGGGUUCCAAUUUC
Molecule: long non-coding RNA, 665 nt
Organism: Symphalangus syndactylus (siamang)
Lineage: Eukaryota; Metazoa; Chordata; Mammalia; Primates; Hylobatidae
Source: RefSeq, a predicted model, not a curated record